Molecule: ribosomal RNA, 450 nt
Filed under: uncultured bacterium
Lineage: Bacteria
Description: partial 16S ribosomal RNA
Rfam family: Bacterial small subunit ribosomal RNA
Source: RNAcentral
GUAGGGAAUCUUCGGCAAUGGACGAAAGUCUGACCGAGCAACGCCGCGUGAGUGAAGAAGGUUUUCGGAUCGUAAAACUCUGUUGGUAGAGAAGAACGUUGGUGAGAGUGGAAAGCUCAUCAAGUGACGGUAACUACCCAGAAAGGGACGGCUAACUACGUGCCAGCAGCCGCGGUAAUACGUAUGUCCCGAGCGUUAUCCGGAUUUAUUGGGCGUAAAGCGAGCGCAGACGGUUGAUUAAGUCUGGUGUAAAAGGCAGUGGCUCAACCAUUGUGUGCAUUGGAAACUGGGAGACUUGAGUGCAGGAGAGGAGAGUGGAAUUCCAUGUGUAGCGGUGAAACGCGUAGAUAUAUGGAGGAACACCGGUGGCGAAAGCGGCUCUCUGGCCUGUAACUGACACUGAGGCUCGAAAGCGUGGGGAGCAAACAGGAUUAGAAACCCUUGUAGUCC